Molecule: long non-coding RNA, 920 nt
Organism: Oncorhynchus kisutch (coho salmon)
Lineage: Eukaryota; Metazoa; Chordata; Actinopteri; Salmoniformes; Salmonidae
Exons: 3
Source: RefSeq, a predicted model, not a curated record
CUAUAUCAAUCUAUCUUUUAUUUAGCUCUAUCUCACAUCUUUCUUUCUUUCUUUCUUUAUCUAUCUUUCUCCUGAUACAGUAAAUUGCCACAAUCCUGCCUUCUGUGAUCUUGGAUACUACUAGUAUAAUUCAGCCUUGAACUGGACCUCUCUGCUUCAAUCCAAAACCCCUCCCAAUAGUUGCAGGGAGUCGACGGAGGCGUCAAUGAGAGCAUUUGCUUUCGGGAGGGAAAGCUCCCCGCAGGGUUCUCCAUUCAGCGACACCAACUCGUCCCCCUCGCAGAUCCCGGCCAGGGACGCAUGACCGCCCUCUUCCACCUAUGGGAAGACAAACAGUGUCAAAGCUCGCAUCCACUACAAGACCACAGUGCUUGCCUACGGACCAGCAAGUGGAACUGCCCCUCCCAUCUUCAGGCUAUGCUCAAACCCUAUAUUCCAACCUGAGCACUCUGUUCUGCCACCUCUGGUCUCUUGGCACUCCCACCCCUAUGGGAGGUCAGCUCCCACUUAGCCCAGUCAAAGCUCUUCUCUGUCCUGACACCCCAGUCGUGGAACGAGCUUCCCCCUGAUGCUAAGACAGCAGUCCCUGCCAAUCUUCCAAAAAUAUCCGAUACCCAACCUCUUAAAAUAAUAUCUUAAAUAAGACAUCGGUCUUACCCCACCCAAACUAAAAUGUAAACUGUGUACUUGCUUUUCGCCCAAAAAAGUACUUAUUAUGACUGUGAUAUGUGGUUCUCACCUAGCUAUCUUAAUAUGAAUGCACUUACUGUAAGUUGCUCUGGUUAAGUCUCUGCUAAAUGACUAAAAUGUUAAUGUACCGUGUAUAUAGCAGCAAACCAUGCAAAUGCAACCAUCCCUUUUGCUUUCACUUUGGUAGUAAAAAUCUGCUUUGUUUUCUAUUAAAUUCUCCAUUAAACCUG